UACAGAGGAGCCAAGCGUUGUCCGGAUUGACUGGGCGUAAAGCGCACGCAGGCGGAUGCGCGCGUGGGGUGUGAAAUCUGGCCGCUUAACGGCCAGGCGCCAUCCCAUACGGCGCGUCUGGAGUGAUGCAGAGGUCGGUGGAAUUGCCGGUGUAGUGGUGAAAUGCGUAGAGAUCGGCAGGAACACCCAGGGGGGAAACCAGCCGACUGGGCAUCUACUGACGCUGAGGUGCGAGAGCGUGGGGAGCGAACCGGG
Molecule: ribosomal RNA, 255 nt
Filed under: uncultured bacterium
Lineage: Bacteria
Description: partial 16S ribosomal RNA
Rfam family: Bacterial small subunit ribosomal RNA
Source: RNAcentral